UGCAGUCGACGAACUCUGGUAUUGAUUGGUGCUUGCAUCAUGAUUUACAUUUGAGUGAGUGGCGAACUGGUGAGUAACACGUGGGAAACCUGCCCAGAAGCGGGGGAUAACACCUGGAAACAGAUGCUAAUACCGCAUAACAACUUGGACCGCAUGGUCCGAGCUUGAAAGAUGGCUUCGGCUAUCACUUUUGGAUGGUCCCGCGGCGUAUUAGCUAGAUGGUGGGGUAACGGCUCACCAUGGCAAUGAUACGUAGCCGACCUGAGAGGGUAAUCGGCCACAUUGG
RNAcentral lists this ribosomal RNA (286 nucleotides) under Lactiplantibacillus plantarum. RNAcentral describes it as "Lactobacillus plantarum partial 16S ribosomal RNA". The stretch from base 64 to 286 matches the Rfam family "Bacterial small subunit ribosomal RNA", at positions 100 to 316 of the family's 1533-position model. The record is from RNAcentral. Lineage: Bacteria; Bacillati; Bacillota; Bacilli; Lactobacillales; Lactobacillaceae.